GACGAACGCUGGCGGCGUGCCUAAUACAUGCAAGUCGAACGCAGUGGGGACGGGUGAGUAACACGUGGGUAACCUCCCAUCAGAGGGGAUAACACUUGGAAACAGGUGCUAAACCGAUACUGAUGGCUGAACCCGGGGUGCAUUAGCUAGUUGGUGAGGUAACGGCUCACAAAGGCCACGAUGCAUAGCAGACCGUGUGGGGUGAUCGGACACACGGGGACGUAGACACGGCCCAGACGCCUACGGGAGGCAGCAGAAGGGAAUCUUCGGCAAUGGACGAAAGUCUGACCGAGCAACGCCGCGUGAGUGGAGAAGGUUUUCGGAUCGUAAAACUCUGUUGUUAGAGAAGCGGUAUCUAACCAGAAAGCCACGGCUAACUACGUGCCAGCCGCCGCGGUAAUAC
Molecule: ribosomal RNA, 403 nt
Filed under: uncultured bacterium
Lineage: Bacteria
Description: partial 16S ribosomal RNA
Rfam family: Bacterial small subunit ribosomal RNA
Source: RNAcentral